UUCGUAUGAGACAGAACAGUAGACAGCAGACAAGAUCCAUAUAGCUAUAUAUAUACUUGCAGAUAUAUACCUUAAGCCAUAUACAUGAGUUCAGUUACAGGCACAUAUUCAAUUUCUCAUUUAAACAAGCAAGAAAAUAUGCCGAAGUCCACGAUCUCUUUGCUACUUCUUCUGCUUAUUGUGGUUUCACUCCCCAUGGGCCAAGCCUUGGGCGAUCAAUUAUUCAAUCACCGCAAACUCAAAGAGGAGCCGAGUAAGUUGGGAGGGAGCGGAACCCCUAACAGUCCAUGCACAAUAUACAGCCGAUGCAAGCGUGGACCACCGCCUCGCUAUUAACCCCUCCAAUGGGUCCCACCAGCUGUGUUCCUGUGUGUGUGCGUGUAUCAGUUUGGCUUCUAUCCGUGCCGUGUCGAGUCGGAAUAUCAACCUUUGGAAUAAGGGUUAGCCCCUGAAUGCUUUCAUCUUCUUGAUGAUUGUGUUGUGGUCUCUAAUAUAUGGUUUGCAAGCUUUUUGGUUUUUGUAUUUCCUCUGAAUCGUCAGUCUUUGACGAGCUGUGUGAAGGCGUCAUUAAACCUAAUUGCUAA
Long non-coding RNA from Tarenaya hassleriana, 584 nucleotides. RefSeq lists it as uncharacterized. The transcript is spliced from 2 exons. Lineage: Eukaryota; Viridiplantae; Streptophyta; Magnoliopsida; Brassicales; Cleomaceae. The record is from RefSeq and is a predicted model, not a curated record.